CAAGAAAACCCUGCCUACCUCUACGUUAACCUAACACAAGAGAAUCCCAAGAAAGAUUAAAAAAAGCGGAAGGAACUCGGCAAAAUUCAGCCCCGCCUGUUUACCAAAAACAUCGCCUCUUGCCUCAUAAGAGGUCCAGCCUGCCCAGUGACCCAAUUCAACGGCCGCGGUAUCCUGACCGUGCGAAGGUAGCGUAAUCACUUGUUCUUUAAAUAAGGACUAGUAUGAACGGCAUCACGAAGGCUGUACUGUCUCCCGCCUUUAAUCAGUGAAAUUAAUCUCCCCGUGAAGAAGCGGGGAUGAAACCAUAAGACGAGAAGACCCCAUGGAGCUUUAAACAAAGGACAUUUACUAACCCAUUACAAGUUAAGCAUUAUGACCCCUAGUUUUUGGUUGGGGCGACCACGGAGAACAACCCACCCUCCAUGCUGAAAGAUAUAAUCUUAGCCUAAAACAACCCAUUUAAGCAUUAGGAUCCUAACACCCAUUGACCCAAUUCACUUGAUCAACGAACCAAGUUACCCUGGGGAUAACAGCGCAAUCCACUUCAAGAGCCCCUAUCGACAAGUGGGUUUACGACCUCGAUGUUGGAUCAGGGUAC
Molecule: ribosomal RNA, 601 nt
Filed under: Uperoleia mahonyi
Lineage: Eukaryota; Metazoa; Chordata; Amphibia; Anura; Myobatrachidae
Description: partial 16S ribosomal RNA
Rfam family: Bacterial large subunit ribosomal RNA
Source: RNAcentral